RNAcentral lists this ribosomal RNA (849 nucleotides) under Semisulcospira libertina. Its description in RNAcentral is "partial 16S ribosomal RNA". It matches the Rfam family "Archaeal large subunit ribosomal RNA", at positions 1291 to 2640 of the family's 2987-position model. Lineage: Eukaryota; Metazoa; Mollusca; Gastropoda; Semisulcospiridae. The record is from RNAcentral.
AAAGUAAAAUUUAUAAUACUAAUUAUUAUAUAUGUGUGUGCUUUUUACUAAUUUUUUUGAGGAUAAGCUCAAAAAAAAGUUAAGAUUUACUUCUAAUUAAAUUUGCUGUGUAGAUUUAAAAUUGAUCACCCCAAAAGUUUUUUAUAAAAUAGUAAUCUUAGUUUUAUAAAUAAAUAUAGUUUGAACUAACUUUUUACGGGGAUAAAGACUUUAACAAAAAAAGUUUUAUGCCUAUGCUAGGAUGAGUAUUAAAAUUUAAUUAUGAAAGAAAUUUAUGUAUAUUUAUUUUUCUCUAAGUUUUUUUAAAAAAAUUAAUUAAUCAGAAGGAACUCGGCAAAUUUAGUUGUUCCGCCUGUUUAGCAAAAACAUGGCUCUUUGACUAUACAAACAUAAAGAGUCGAGCCUGCCCAGUGAAUUUUUUUUUAACGGCCGCGGUACUCUGACCGUGCAAAGGUAGCAUAAUCAUUUGCCUUAUAAUUGAAGGCUAGUAUGAACGGUUUGACGAGAACAACACUGUCUCCUUUUUAUUUUCAAGAAUUUAACUUUUAGGUGAAGAGGCCUAAAUUUUAUUGAAGGACAAGAAGACCCUGUCGAGCUUAAAAGAUAUUGUAGGAUCUUAUAUAUGUUUAAAUAAAUUUCUAUUAGGCUUUUUAGUUGGGGCGACUAAGGAACAAAAAAAGCUUCUUGUUAAUAGUAAACAAUCACGUUUAGAUCCGAUAGCAAUCGAUUAAAGGAAUUAGUUACCGCAGGGAUAACAGCAUAAUCUUUCUUGAGAGACCUAAUCGAAAGAAGGGCUUGUGACCUCGAUGUUGGACUAGAAUAUCCUAAAGAUGCAGAAGUCUUUAAAGG